AUGGGUGUUGGGUCCAACAAAUCGCAUUGGUCUCAAACCAAUGACAUCCAUUUCGAAGACCAUGAGUUUGAGGUGGACGAGGAAGGUGAGGGCAUUGUCGACGCGCCGAAAGGAAGAGCGGGCAAUUACACCACCAAAGAUAACAUCCUACUAUGUAAUACUUGGUUGCAAGUGUCGAGGGACCCAUCCGUUGGAGGUGAUCAAAGUAGAGAUGCUUAUUGGGGGCGGAUGAAAGAACACUUUGAUGUUCACAACUUGAGUGGAAUUGACCGCUCCGAGAGAUCACUUCGGUCCCGAUGGUCGACAAUCAACUCGGAUUGUCAAAGGUGGGUGGCUUGUCAAAAGGCGGUUGACAAGUUGAACCCAAGUGGCACAAAUGAGGACGAUAGAAUAAGUGGCAUUUCAUACAAGUUCAUCAUACAAGUCCAUCAUAAUCAUACUUGUUGUUGGUGCUAA
Molecule: ribosomal RNA, 456 nt
Filed under: Triticum aestivum (bread wheat)
Lineage: Eukaryota; Viridiplantae; Streptophyta; Magnoliopsida; Poales; Poaceae
Description: partial small subunit ribosomal RNA
Source: RNAcentral